This 801-nucleotide ribosomal RNA is filed under the name Triticum aestivum (bread wheat). Its description in RNAcentral is "partial small subunit ribosomal RNA". Lineage: Eukaryota; Viridiplantae; Streptophyta; Magnoliopsida; Poales; Poaceae. The record is from RNAcentral.
AUGGCAAACACCCUACCGCAGUGUGGGACUAAUCGUUUUCAUUUACCAUCUCAUGGAAAACCCUUUUCGUUCCGCUUAGCCCUAUCGGGUAUUUUAGUGACAGGUUCUUUAGGAACUGGACGAUCCUAUUUGGUUAAAUACCUAACGAAAAAUUACGAUUUUCCUUUCAUUAAGGUACGAGGGCUUCUUAUUCCACAAGAACGAAAGCACAUUUUCAUUCUUUCAUAUACUAGGGGUACGACUAGGAUGAUCCUUGUCAUCAAAGAUGAUGGGCGUGCGGGACCAUUUGAGCAGCUUCCGGGCCUUUGGCGCUGGUUCCACGGCAUUGACUUCUCGCGCCCACCGCUUGAGUUGGCGGUUAGAGGUGUGCAGAGAUGCACCCCCGUCAAUGCACAGGGCGUCAGUGGCUUUCUGAAACUCUUGCUCACUGGUUUCCUCUUCACCCCCUCCAUCACUCUCAUCAUCACAGGCUUCCUUCUCUCGACCUCUGGCGGGCUUUCCUUUGUUCCGAAAGGGGUUUCCGGGGCGAUUUACUUCACCACCUCGGCUCUUUCCGCCAGCAACAUUCUGACCCUUUUCCUUGUCAUGCUUCUCAUACUCUGCUCUUUGUCUCUUAACAGGCUCCUCAACCUGAUAACACUCUUGAAGGUCGUGGCCUUUCGUCCGAUGAAUCUUGUUGUACGGCCCAUCACCUUUCCCGGCCUUCUCGAAAGUCGUGGCUUCCUGGCAGUCAGCGCACAUGGCGGCUUCCUUGCCGGGGGCCUCAGCUUUGGCCUUCCUGCCGGUACUGGGUGCACCUGA